Molecule: long non-coding RNA, 4847 nt
Filed under: Canis lupus familiaris (dog)
Lineage: Eukaryota; Metazoa; Chordata; Mammalia; Carnivora; Canidae
Description: lncRNA (ENSCAFG00845020902.1)
Source: RNAcentral
UUUUUUUUUUUUUUUUUUUUUUUUAAUUUAUUUAUUCAUGAUAGUCACACGGAGAGAGAGAGAGAGGCAGAGACACAGGCAGAGGGAGAAGCAGGCCCCAAGCACCGGGAGCCCGACCUGGGAUUCGAUCCCGAGUCUCCAGGAUCACGCCCUGGGCCAAAGGCAGGCGCCAAACCGUUGCGCCACCCAGGGAUCCCUAUCCAUGCCCCUCUUAACCACAAAACUUCCUCGGAUACUUCACAGCCUCCACAGGUACUCACAGCACUAAAUCACAUUCUUGGUGUCACACUUACCUCAUCACACUUGGUAUUAUACUAAAUUAUAUCCCAUCUCCCCUAUUGGAUGAGCAGGUUCUUGAGAGCAGGAUUGACAGCUUAAUCAUCUUUCUUCCUGAAGACCUAACAAAAUCUCUUGACCAUAGUCACUGCUAUCAGUAACUAAGCAGGUCAGCACAUAAAAUACUUUUGACAGAUUAAGUAACAUUAAAACAGAGCCUUACAAAUACUGUUGACAAUUUUCUUAGCUCUCUCAAAUUAGUUUUUGAUUAUAGCAAGACAUUAAAGACAUUAUGACUGUAUUUACAUUUUACAAAGUAAGUUUCUAACUGAAAAAUAAUACAGUUAAUUUUCAAUUAACAUGGUAAAAAUAAUAACAGAUAGCACUUACAUAGCACUUACUACGUGACCUGUUCUUAGAAACGUAUAUGCAUUAACUCACUCUACCCUCCUAACAAUUCUCUGUGUUAGGCACCAUUUUUAUAUUUCCCAUUUUGGGAAACCAAAGCAAAGUAGAACUAGCUUACUUAUUCAGAGUCAUGGAGCUGGACAAAGCCAAGCCAGGAUUUGAACCCAGGCAGCUGUGGCCCUCACCUACGCUUAUAACCCUAAGCAUCACCUAAACAGCCAUCUGUAUAAAAAUCUAAUUUUACAUAAGCACUUUUUAACUCAUUCAGAACUUUUUACAGAAGCUUGUUAUUUAUAAGUAAUAUUUUUUUCUACAAUAUAAACAAGUAUAUCUGUAUUCACCACAUCAAAGUCCUGGCUAAAAUAUGCAUACAUAAUAGACUAGUGCCAAUAUCAUAGUGCCAGUUUUGCAAUAUUUUAAAUUACCUCAUCUUAAUUUCUAAAUGCUAAAAGAUGUUAGCAGUCUAACAUGGAAUCUGCUCGACUAACUAUCCUAGGAAAUUUCUAUUUCCAUAGAGAUUUUUCUGUACCCUGAAUCAAUUUUUAAAUUCAAGAAAACUAAGAAUUUUCAUGAAUAUGUAAUACAAAUCACUAUUGCUAAUGGUACUUAGCAUUAAGUAUCAGAGAGGACAACUACAAUAAUGUUAUAAUCUUGUAAAAUGACAAUUUAACAUAUGAUAUUAGGUUUUUAAAGGUAAUAUUUAGCCAUAAUUAAUUUAUCUCUGGAAAAUAAUCUCUAUUACAAAAUCUGCUUAAUUCUCAAAUGUUGUUACACUUAAAGUUUUUAGGUUAAUAAACCCAAAACCAGUGAUGGAGAAUAAUUCUACUAUUAUAGUGCAAAGCAAGCUUCUAAACAACAAAAUUCUUAAAACGUGGUAAGCCCACUGCUUGUAUGCCUGAUUUCUCAGUCAUUAAUUUUGGGGGGGGGGGGGGGGGGGAGGGUAGAGGGGGAGGGCGAAGGAGUGAGAGAAUUCCAAGCAGGCUCCGCACUGGAUGUGGAUCUCACAAUCCUGAGAUCAUGACCUGAGCCGAAAUCAAGAGUCGGACACUUAAAACAACUGCGCCGCCCAGGUGUCCUCUCAGCAGUUAGUUCUUAAGGAAAAACCGUUUCGGUCUUUGCCUCCCCAAAAGUAGAAACAUUCAAGAGUGUUCAAAAGUAAAAUCCUAUUGACUUUAACCAUAAGAGUAACCUGCCCAAAGCAGACAUUCUUUUUGUCCUUUUUAAGAAUGUAAAGCCUUGAACUCCAACGGGAUCAUCUCCCCGGUCUUCGUGCUUGCUGUUCUCUCUGGCAGGAAAGGAUCUGCACCCACAUCUUUUCACGACCUGCUCUUUCCUAUCCUUGAGGUUCAGUUCAAAUAUCUUCACCUAGCAAGGCCUUUUGCCCAGUCAGUUCACGCAGACAUGCCCAUUGUCAUAGAUUGACCCACAACCCCUCAAAAGGUAUGCUGAGUUCCUAAACCCCCCAAAAUCUCAGAAUAUGACCUUAUUCAUAGAUAAGAUCGUUGCAGUGUAGUUAAGAUGAGGUCAUGCUAGAAGAGGGUCAGCUCUUAAUCCAUCAUCACCGGUGUCCUUUUACAAAGAGGAGACACAAGAACACAGAGACACAGGGAAGAAGGCCAUGGGAAGAAGGUAAGCAAGACUGAGUUAUGCUACUGCAAGCCAAGGGAUGCUGGGGGGCUACAGAAGGUAGAAGAGGCAAGGGGGGACCCACCCUGACUUUGGACUUCUAGUCUCCAGGACCAAGACAACAAAUUUCUAUUGUUUAAGUCACCCAGUCCCUAGUACUCUGCUCUAACAGUGCUAGGGAACAUACACCCACCACUACCAACUGCGCUCAGCUCCAUCAAUCACUUUUAUUGUCCUUCCAAUUCUUAAUAGUAUCUAAAAUAGCAAUUAACUGUCUUUUACCUUUUAUUGACUUUUAUUGACUGUCUUCCUUUAUUAGAAUGUCAAUUUCAUGAGGACUUUUUGAGUCUGUGGCCUUUUCUGACGGCAAAGCAGAGCCUGGCACAUAAUAGGUGCUCAAGAAAUAGAUUUUGUGGGACGCCUGGGUGGCUCAGUGGUUGAGCCUCUGUCUGCCUUUGGCUCGGGGCGUGAUCUUGGGGUCCUGGGAUCGAAUCCCGCAUCGGGCUCCCUGCAUGGAGCCUGCUUCUCCCUCUGUGUCUCUGCCUCUCUCUCUGUCUCUCAUGGAUAAAUAAAUAAAAUCUUUAAAAAAAUGGAUUUUGUCAAAUAAAUUAAUGAUCCUGAGAAAGAUGACAGGAUUAAAGAAUGUCAGAAUGACCAUUCACUUCCAAUGCUCUGAACCAGUGUAAACUGGCCCUAAAAAAGGAGCUUCUGCUCUGCUGAGGACAAAAUCCACAAGGGGCAGCCAAAGAAAGCCUUAAAUACAUAAGGAGAAGGAGGCCCUGAGUUAUAGGGGAUAGUGACUGCUGUGGGGUUGCAGGAAUGAUGAGGUAACAGGGGGCUGAAGGAAGUGAUGGGAUAGGGAGACCUGGGUGUGCAAAGGGCAGGGGCCAGCUACUCUGUCCCAAAGGGUAACCGAAAGUGGUUUCCCUCUUCUUUGGACUUUAGCCUGUCUCCUUACAUCAGAUCGGAAUGAGCCCCAAAGUGGCAAAGGGAUGCUACUGAUUACAACAACCAGUUGUUACAACCAGUUGGUUACAACUACUCAACAGUCUUCAUCGGAAAAAGUGAUGGUCAAGAAUUUUUUUUAAUUGAAAUAUAACUGACAAAUAAUAUCUUAUUCAUGUCAGGUUCACAUCAUAGUGAUCUGAUAUUUUUAUACAUUAUGAAAUGAUCCCCACUCAUUAGUUAACAACCUCUCGCCAUACAAAGUUGUUACAAUAUUGGUAACCAUAUUCCCCAUGCUGUACAUUUCAUCCCCCUGACUUAAAUAUUUUAUAACUGAAAGUCUGUGCCUCUUAAAGAAAUUUUAAAAUGAUCUUGGUUUGAAUAGACAAUAUGUUCACAGGUUUAAAAAUUCAGACGGUAGUAAGGGGGUAUGCUAAAUAAGUGUCCUAAGUGUCCUUCCCAGUCCCAUCCCAACCAUCUGGUUUUCCUCCUCAGAGUCAAUCACUAUUACCAGUUUCUUGUGUCAUCUUCCAGGGAGAGUCUUUACACUAACAUGCAUAAACACAGAUUUAUAAACUCAUAUUGAACACCUAUGGCCACAGAUCACUCUGUACCUUGGUCUGUCCCGUAUUAUAUCUUAGAGAGCAUUUCGUAUCAGCAAAUAUGGAAUGAUCUCACUCUUUUUAACUUCAGUAAUUAAUAAAAGUUUGUUAUUUGUAGCUACCUAGUUUUAUUUCCACUCCUAAUUAUUUAACCAAUCCCAUACCGACCGACAGGUAUUAGCUUUCCCUAAGUCUUUUGCCGUGACAGACGAUGCUGCCAAUGGACAUCUUUGCGCAAGUUCCUUUUGUGAUGUACAGGUAGGUCUACAGAAAAAUUUCUUAGAUUUCCAGCGGUGAGGAGGUAGGUGAACUUUUAACUUUGCUAUCCGCAGAUGCUGUACCAUUUUGCAUCUCUAACGAUAACGCAUUAACCUGUCAAUUACCCCAAAGCCUUGCCACCAUAAGGGACUAACAAACAUCAAAAUCUUUUUUAACUUACUGGGUUAGUUUAAAAUUGCAUUUCUCUUAUGAGUUGAGCAUAACUUCAUAUUUGUCUGUGCCGUCUGUAAUUCCUUUUCCAUGAACUGCUUGUUCAUACCCUUGUCCCCUUUCCUAUGAGAUUAACAGUCAUUUUUCUUUUUGAUCUAUAGGAGCUCUUUGGAUAUAGUAAGGAGUUAAACCUUCUUUGUGACCCGUUAUAGUUUCUUUCCCAUGUGGUAAUGCUUCUCUUCUGCCCGUACAGAUAAUAUUUUUCCUUAGACAGAGUUUAAUUUAUCAACCUUUUAUCUCACUCAUUUUGUCUUCAAAAUAUUAAAAAGCCUUUUUCUUUUUUCUCUUUCUUUUUUUUUUUUUUUUAAGUGUAGAGACAGAUAGCUUCCCUAGUAUCUGAUCUCCAUCAGACGGGAUUGGAUGAGACUGGAAGGGACGCCUGGGUGGCUCAGGGGCUGAGCAUCUGCCUUCAGUUCAGGGUGUGAUCCCAGGGUCCUGGGAUCGAGUCCCACAUCAGGCUCCCUGCGAGGAGCCUGUUUCUCCCUCUGCCUGUGUCUCUGC